UUUUCUAUUAUUUCACACACACACACACACAGUGAAUUUACGGGAGGAGGCAGAGACCGAGAGAAGAAGAGAAAAAGAGGAAAGAAGAAGGGAAAAAAGAAAAGAAGAAGGGAGAAGAAAAGGAAAAAGAAAAGGAAAGGAGGGAUAUUUGCACGAAUUGGAGCUCAAGUGUGGGGAUUAUUCAUUUCAAAUUUUCAGCAAGGAGGUAGCGAGGCGAUUGGAAACGUCUAUCAGCCUAUCUAGCUUGUAGCUCAUACCUUGAGAAGGUCGAUUUUGAGAUAUUGGGAAAAAGCCUGCUGAAACGAAAGAGACAGUUUCAUAAGUAUGUAAUGAAUAUUUGGGAAACUUAUGUUUAUUAAGUAAUUGUCUAAUUUUGGGUGUCAAGCAUAUUUGUAGAAGGGUUUGCAAGUGAUAUAAUACUUGCAUGUCAACAGGAUGAUGUUAUAAAAACACUCAGUCGAAUUUUGUUAUAUUUUGUAGUAGUUGUGGUAGCAUUAGAGGAAGUGGUGGUUUGCAAAACUUUUGGUUUAAAUGUCUAUUUGAGAUUUUGAUGAUUUUUCA
Molecule: long non-coding RNA, 561 nt
Organism: Olea europaea var. sylvestris
Lineage: Eukaryota; Viridiplantae; Streptophyta; Magnoliopsida; Lamiales; Oleaceae
Exons: 4
Source: RefSeq, a predicted model, not a curated record